GGUAGCGUGGCCGAGUUGGUCUAAGGCGCUGGAUUUAAGUCCCAGUGAAGGUGACUUCGCGCGAGUUCGAAUCUCGCCGCUACCA
Molecule: transfer RNA, 85 nt
Filed under: Omphalotus olearius VT 653.13
Lineage: Eukaryota; Fungi; Basidiomycota; Agaricomycetes; Agaricales; Omphalotaceae
Description: tRNA-Leu (TAA) (tRNA-Leu-TAA-1-1)
Rfam family: tRNA
About the family: Transfer RNA (tRNA) molecules are approximately 80 nucleotides in length. Their secondary structure includes four short double-helical elements and three loops (D, anti-codon, and T loops). Further hydrogen bonds mediate the characteristic L-shaped molecular structure. tRNAs have two regions of fundamental functional importance: the anti-codon, which is responsible for specific mRNA codon recognition, and the 3' end, to which the tRNAs corresponding amino acid is attached (by aminoacyl-tRNA synthetases). tRNAs cope with the degeneracy of the genetic code in two manners: having more than one tRNA (with a specific anti-codon) for a particular amino acid; and 'wobble' base-pairing, i.e. permitting non-standard base-pairing at the 3rd anti-codon position.
Source: RNAcentral